UAGUAUCUACUUGUUAAAUGAUUCAGUUAGGUUGUUAAUAACUAAUUGAUUCUUGCAUACUGUAUCCAAGUAAGCUCUACACCAAGCUUGAGGUGGAUACUUCAGCAGACCCUCAACAACUUCCUUCUUCAAUUCUCCUAAUUUCUUUAGUUGAUAUUUGAAUUCCUCUUCAUAUGUGGCCCAUGCAAACCACCAAAGUAGCUUAUUGUGUUUUCCAGUAUUAAAUGAUUUGCACCAAUUGGCC
Molecule: long non-coding RNA, 244 nt
Filed under: Nicotiana benthamiana
Lineage: Eukaryota; Viridiplantae; Streptophyta; Magnoliopsida; Solanales; Solanaceae
Description: long non-coding RNA (NBEN_LNC037966)
Source: RNAcentral